This is a non-coding RNA of Pelobates cultripes (western spadefoot toad), 249 nucleotides long. The record is from the annotation of a GenBank genome assembly. NCBI's taxonomy places the organism in Eukaryota, Metazoa, Chordata, Amphibia, Anura, Pelobatidae.
GUGAGAAUCGUGUCUGUACGAAGACUCAGAUGACGCUUCUAUAUUUCUCAUGUCCAUAUGGGUUACAGGGAAUCGUAUCCUCUGGGUAACAGGACACUGAUGGCAGUAAAUGGCUGCUUUUAGCAGGGCAGUGCCUGUGGUCACGCAGCGGUGGGAGACUCGAUGUGGGACCCACAACUCAUUGAUAAGUGGUCAGUUUACUCUGGGAAAGGACAAGAUGUGGAUGUGUGUUCUAUUCACAAGUUCCCC